Molecule: transfer RNA, 86 nt
Filed under: Armatimonadota bacterium
Lineage: Bacteria; Bacillati; Armatimonadota
Description: Armatimonadetes bacterium (anaerobic digester metagenome) tRNA-Ser
Rfam family: tRNA
About the family: Transfer RNA (tRNA) molecules are approximately 80 nucleotides in length.
Source: RNAcentral
GGAGGCGUGGCCGAGUGGUUUAAGGCGGUGGUCUUGAAAACCAUUGGACGAAAGUCCCAGGGGUUCGAAUCCUCUCGCCUCCGCCA